UACGUAGGGUGCGAGCGUUAAUCGGAAUUACUGGGCGUAAAGUGUGCGCAGGCGGCGUUGCAAGUCGAGUGUGAAAUCCCCGAGCUUAACUUGGGAAUUUGCGCUCGAAACUACGAUGCUCGAGUGUGGCAGAGGAAGGUGGAAUUCCACGUGUAGCGGUGAAAUGCGUAGAGAUGUGGAGGAACACCGAUGGCGAAGGCAGCCCUU
Molecule: ribosomal RNA, 207 nt
Filed under: uncultured bacterium
Lineage: Bacteria
Description: partial 16S ribosomal RNA
Rfam family: Bacterial small subunit ribosomal RNA
Source: RNAcentral